This 301-nucleotide ribosomal RNA is filed under the name uncultured bacterium. RNAcentral's name for it is "partial 16S ribosomal RNA". It matches the Rfam family "Bacterial small subunit ribosomal RNA", at positions 509 to 807 of the family's 1533-position model. The record is from RNAcentral.
CAGCCGCCGCGGGAAAACGAAGGGGGCUAGCGUUGUUCGGAUUAACUGGGCGUAAAGGGCGCGUAGGCGGGUCUUUAGGUCAGGGGUGAAAUCCCAAGGCUCAACCUUGGAACUGCCUUUGAUACUGGAGAUCUUGAGUCCGGGAGAGGUGAGUGGAACUGCGAGUGUAGAGGUGAAAUUCGUAGAUAUUCGCAAGAACACCAGUGGCGAAGGCGGCUCACUGGCCCGGUACUGACGCUGAGGCGCGAAAGCGUGGGGAGCAAACAGGAUUAGAUACCCCGGUAGUCCCUGUCUCUUAUAC